Molecule: small RNA, 118 nt
Organism: Pseudomonas taeanensis MS-3
Lineage: Bacteria; Pseudomonadati; Pseudomonadota; Gammaproteobacteria; Pseudomonadales; Pseudomonadaceae
Rfam family: Pseudomon-1/ErsA RNA
About the family: Functions to regulate the AlgC enzyme. Based on this information, the new name ErsA for the RNA was adopted.
Source: Rfam
AAGCUCCUUUGUUGUGUUAAGUGUUGGCAGAUAUCUGAACCCCGCCCUAGCGGUUCAGAAGCUUAAACCCCGAGCUUCUCCCUCCCCAUACGAAGUUCGGGGUUUUUUUUGCCUGGCG